UCAAACUUGGUCAUUUAGAGGAAGUAAAAGUCGUAACAAGGUUUCCGUAGGUGAACCUGCGGAAGGAUCAUUACGUAUUUUAGGCCAGUUUGACUGGUUCUAUUCCACCCUGAUUUUGCGCACUCUCUGUUUCCUCGGCAGGCUCGCUUGCCAGAAGGACAUUUUUUUCAACUCGUUACAUUAGCAGUCAGCGUCAGAGUAAAUAAAAUGGUAACAACUUUCAACAACGGAUCUCUUGGUUCUGGCAUCGAUGAAGAACGCAGC
Molecule: unclassified non-coding RNA, 264 nt
Filed under: uncultured fungus
Lineage: Eukaryota; Fungi
Description: partial contains small subunit ribosomal RNA, internal transcribed spacer 1, and 5.8S ribosomal RNA
Rfam family: Eukaryotic small subunit ribosomal RNA (bases 1-73)
Source: RNAcentral